Molecule: non-coding RNA, 87 nt
Organism: Turdus rufiventris (rufous-bellied thrush)
Lineage: Eukaryota; Metazoa; Chordata; Aves; Passeriformes; Turdidae
Source: the annotation of a GenBank genome assembly
CCAAGCAGGGAGUGGAAAUCCUUUUGCUCUGAGGCAGUAAAUGAAAUGCUGGUGCUGGUUUUGGGUGUCAGACACACUCUGCCUGGC